Molecule: long non-coding RNA, 535 nt
Filed under: Homo sapiens (human)
Lineage: Eukaryota; Metazoa; Chordata; Mammalia; Primates; Hominidae
Description: lncAB492.1
Source: RNAcentral
GUCGCGGGGAACACUGGAAAUGCUUCAGGGGCGGACUCCGAAGACCGAGUAUUGCCUCGAGGGACUUUCUGCGCCACCCCGUAAUCGCUUGCGCUCCAGGUCUUCGUAGGUGGGGGCCGGGUGGGUGAAGACUGGGACCCUAUGCCACGCGCAGCACUCAGAGGAGGGCUGGGGUCCCAGGGCCGCAGCGCGGUCAGUUCAGUCCGGGCUCGAGCUUCCUAGCAGCGCCCUCCUUGGGGGCUGGCCCUGACCCUCGGUGCCGCUACGAGUGGGUGGCCAGAAGCUGGUGGUGGAGAGGGAGAGCGUCUGCAAGGAACGACGAGGCUGGCGCCGGGACCACGCGGCGGAGGCGAUCGAAAGAGAAACGAGGCCAGGCAAGGAGGAGGAAAUCCACCCGAUGAAGGCGAGCUGCCGCCUAAGAGGGAGGAGGGUCCUUUCGGCUGCCGCUGCUGCUGUUCCGGGACGCCGCCUGGGGAGCCAGCCCGCUCGUAAGGUGCGCGCCAGGUAGCUCCGCACCCAGGGGGCGCCCUUCCUG